Molecule: unclassified non-coding RNA, 205 nt
Filed under: Hevea brasiliensis (rubber tree)
Lineage: Eukaryota; Viridiplantae; Streptophyta; Magnoliopsida; Malpighiales; Euphorbiaceae
Source: RNAcentral
GCCGGUGCGCGACACCAGCCACCGCGACGGCAUCUGGCGCGGCAUCGAGCAGGGCAUCGUCGAUGUGCUCGGCUCCGAUCACGCGCCGCAUACGCUGGAAGAGAAGGAAAAGGUCUAUCCGGCGUCGCCCUCCGGCAUGACCGGCGUGCAGACGCUGGUCCCGAUCAUGCUCGAUCAUGUCAAUGCGGGACGGCUGUCGCUCCAG